CGUACUUGUUGUACCCUCAGACAGACGUACUUGUUGUACCCUCAGACAGACGUACUUGUACCCUCAGACAAACGUACUUGUUGUACCCUCAGACAGACGUACUUGUUGUACCCUCAGACAGACGUACUGAUUGUACCCUCAGACAGACGUACUUGUUGUACCCUCAGACAGACGUACUUGUUGACCCUCAGACAGAGGUACUUGUUGUACCCUCAGACAGAGGUACUUGUUGUACCCUCAGACAGACGUACUUGUUGUACCCUCAGACAGACGUACUGAUUGUACCCUCAGACAGAGGUACUUGUUGACCCUCAGACAGACUUACUUGUACCCUCAG
Pecten maximus is the source of this 337-nucleotide long non-coding RNA. RefSeq lists it as uncharacterized. The record is from RefSeq and is a predicted model, not a curated record. Lineage: Eukaryota; Metazoa; Mollusca; Bivalvia; Pectinida; Pectinidae. The transcript has 3 exons.